This is a small nuclear RNA of Lathyrus oleraceus (garden pea), 190 nucleotides long. RefSeq annotates it as U2 spliceosomal RNA. Lineage: Eukaryota; Viridiplantae; Streptophyta; Magnoliopsida; Fabales; Fabaceae. The record is from RefSeq and is a predicted model, not a curated record. The transcript has a single exon.
AAUGCCUAACUAAAAUAUUAUUGUAUCAAGUGUAGCAUCUCUUAUUAGUUUAAUAUUUGAUAUGUGGGUCAAUGGUUCACACGGUAUUAAAUUUAUUUCUCGAGGGAGAGAGUCCACCACCGUAGGUUGCUAUUGGCCUCUCACGUGUUGCUUUUGCGUUGCACUAUAGCAAUUGCCAGGCGCACCCCAC